Molecule: non-coding RNA, 24 nt
Filed under: Cricetulus griseus (Chinese hamster)
Lineage: Eukaryota; Metazoa; Chordata; Mammalia; Rodentia; Cricetidae
Also listed under: 1 other name
Source: RNAcentral
GAGUUGGAAUAGGAGCUUGCUCCG